Molecule: ribosomal RNA, 669 nt
Filed under: uncultured bacterium
Lineage: Bacteria
Description: bacterial SSU rRNA
Rfam family: Bacterial small subunit ribosomal RNA
Source: RNAcentral
CAUGCAAGUCGAGCGGCAGCGCGAGUAGUUUACUACUUGGCGGCGAGCGGCGGACGGCUGAGUAACGCGUGGGAACGUGCCCCAAAGUGAGGAAUAACUGCCCGAAAGGGUAGCUAAUGCCGCAUAUGAUCUUCGGAUUAAAGUAUUUAUUACGCUUUGGGAGCGGCCCGCGUCCGAUUAGAUAGUUGGUGAGGUAAAGGCUCACCAAGUCUACGAUCGGUAACUGGUCUGAGAGGAUGAUCAGUCAGACUGGAACUGAGACACGGUCCAGACUCCUACGGGAGGCAGCAGUGAGGAAUCUUCCACAAUGGACGAAAGUCUGAUGGAGCAACUCCGCGUGCAGGAUGAAGGCCUUCGGGUCGUAAACUGCUUUUAUGAGUGAAGAAUAUGACGGUAACUCAUGAAUAAGGGUCGGCUAACUACGUGCCAGCAGCCGCGGUCAUACGUAGGACCCAAGCGUUAUCCGGAGUGACUGGGCGUAAAGAGUUGCGUAGGUGGUUAGUAAAGUGAAUAGUGAAACCUGGUGGCUCAACCAUACAGACUAUUAUUCAAACUCACUAACUCGAGAGUGGUAGAGGUAACUGGAAUUUCUAGUGUAGAGUGAAAUCCGUAGAUAUUAGAAGGAACACCAAUGGCGUANGCAGGUUACUGGACCAUUUCUGACACUGA